Molecule: long non-coding RNA, 276 nt
Filed under: Elaeis guineensis (African oil palm)
Lineage: Eukaryota; Viridiplantae; Streptophyta; Magnoliopsida; Arecales; Arecaceae
Description: long non-coding RNA (EGUI_LNC012242)
Source: RNAcentral
GAACAAUUUCUGAUCAGCAUAACAACUGCGGAUCGGCUAGUCUUCCGGAUCAAUCCAUCUAACUGAGCUUUGGUUGGAAAAUUAUUAGUCCCAACUCUUAGUCGGUACACUACACUCUCUGAUCUCUUCUCGAAAGCAGAUUGAUCGGGCUCAGAUUCAAAAGGCAGACGCCAACUGUCCAUAACUGUGAAUACUAUCUGGGUGUAAGUGUCUGAUCCUAAAAAUCUUUCAGAUGUAAUCAUCUGAUCUUGAGAAUCACAACUAAAUAACCGUACC